Molecule: ribosomal RNA, 253 nt
Filed under: [Lactobacillus] rogosae
Lineage: Bacteria; Bacillati; Bacillota; Clostridia; Lachnospirales; Lachnospiraceae
Description: Lactobacillus rogosae partial 16S ribosomal RNA
Rfam family: Bacterial small subunit ribosomal RNA
Source: RNAcentral
UACGUAUGGAGCAAGCGUUAUCCGGAUUUACUGGGUGUAAAGGGAGUGUAGGUGGUCAGGCAAGUCAGAAGUGAAAGCCCGGGGCUCAACCCCGGGACUGCUUUUGAAACUGCAGGGCUAGAGUGCAGGAGGGGCAAGUGGAAUUCCUAGUGUAGCGGUGAAAUGCGUAGAUAUUAGGAGGAACACCAGUGGCGAAGGCGGCUUGCUGGACUGUAACUGACACUGAGGCUCGAAAGCGUGGGGAGCAAACAGG